This 349-nucleotide unclassified non-coding RNA is filed under the name soil metagenome. Its description in RNAcentral is "partial contains 5.8S ribosomal RNA, internal transcribed spacer 2, and large subunit ribosomal RNA". The stretch from base 1 to 120 matches the Rfam family "5.8S ribosomal RNA", at positions 35 to 154 of the family's 154-position model. The record is from RNAcentral.
GAUGAAGAACGUAGCGAAAUGCGAAAAGUAAUGUGAAUUGCAGAAUUCAGUGAAUCAUCGAAUCUUUGAACGCACAUUGCGCCCGCCAGUAUUCUGGCGGGCAUGCCUGUCUGAGCGUCAUUUCAACCCUCACGCCCCUAGGGCGUGGUGUUGGGGAUCGGCCAGCGCCCUCGCGGGCGAGGCCGUCCCCUAAAUCUAGUGGCGGACCCGUCGUGGCCUCCCCUGCGAAGUAGUGAUAUUCCGCAUAGGAGAGCGACGAGCCCCUGCCGUUAAACCCCCAACUUUCUCAGGUUGACCUCGGAUCAGGUAGGGAUACCCGCUGAACUUAAGCAUAUCAAUAAGCGGAGGA